Molecule: ribosomal RNA, 89 nt
Filed under: Algoriphagus winogradskyi
Lineage: Bacteria; Pseudomonadati; Bacteroidota; Cytophagia; Cytophagales; Cyclobacteriaceae
Also listed under: 1 other name
Source: RNAcentral
CCACCUCUUCCCAUCCCGAACAGAGAAGUUAAGCCCUGCAGCGCCGAUGGUACUGGGGUUACACCCGGGAGAGUAGGUCGCCGCCUCAU